UACGUAGGGGCCUAGCGUUGUCCGGAAUCAUUGGGCGUAAAGAGCUCGUAGGCGGUUCGGCAAGUCACGUGUGAAAUCUCCACGCUUAACGUGGAGGCGCCACGUGAAACUGCCGUGACUCGAGUCCGGUAGGGGAGUGUGGAAUUCCCGGUGUAGCGGUGAAAUGCGCAGAUAUCGGGAGGAACACCAGUAGCGAAGGCGGGUCUCUGGACAGUUCCUGACACUGAGGCACGAAGGCCAGGGGAGCAAACGGG
Molecule: ribosomal RNA, 254 nt
Filed under: uncultured bacterium
Lineage: Bacteria
Description: partial 16S ribosomal RNA
Rfam family: Bacterial small subunit ribosomal RNA
Source: RNAcentral